CGAGCGAAUGGAUUAAGAGCUUGCUCUUAUGAAGUUAGCGGCGGACGGCGUGAGUAACACGUGGGUAACCUGCCCAUAAGACUGGGAUAACUCCGGGAAACCGGGGCUAAUACCGGAUAACAUUUUGAACCGCAUGGUUCGAAAUUGAAAGGCGGCUUCGGCUGUCACUUAUGGAUGGACCCGCGUCGCAUUAGCUAGUUGGUGAGGUAACGGCUCACCAAGGCAACGAUGCGUACCCGACCUGAGAGGGUGAUCGGCCACACUGGGACUGAGACACGGCCCAGACUCCUACGGGAGGCAGCAGUAGGGAAUCUUCCGCAAUGGACGAAAGUCUGACGGAGCAACGCCGCGUGAGUGAUGAAGGCUUUCGGGGUCGUAAAACUCUGUUGUUAGGGAAGAACAAGUGCUAGUUGAAUAAGCUGGCACCUUGACGGUACCUAACCACAAAGCCACGGCUAGCUACGUGCCAGCGGGCCGCGGUAAUACGUAGGUGGCAAGCGUUAUCCGGAAUUAUUGGGGCG
This 521-nucleotide ribosomal RNA is filed under the name Bacillus sp. (in: firmicutes). RNAcentral's name for it is "bacterial SSU rRNA". It matches the Rfam family "Bacterial small subunit ribosomal RNA", at positions 63 to 561 of the family's 1533-position model. Lineage: Bacteria; Bacillati; Bacillota; Bacilli; Caryophanales; Bacillaceae. The record is from RNAcentral.